RNAcentral lists this long non-coding RNA (290 nucleotides) under Pelobates cultripes (western spadefoot toad). The record is from RNAcentral. Lineage: Eukaryota; Metazoa; Chordata; Amphibia; Anura; Pelobatidae.
CCUUACACAGCUCAAGGUCUGGGCCCCAGGGCCUGACGGUGAGUAUGCCCAUAAGGCCCAUAAAGUCCACUUAUAUGUUCCACCCACCCAUGAGUUCGCUCACAGGGAGUGGAGUGUGUAGGGGAUGUGUUAUGUGUUAUUGUAGAGGAUCUAAUAUGUGUGCUUAUGGUAUGUAGUGUUUAGGGUUACCAGUUUGUGCAGGUGAUGCAGUGUGUUUGUGUGUAGUGGAAGCAGUGUGUAUUUGUGUAUAAGGGAUGUAUUAUGUGUUUCUGGUUGUGUGUAAGGGAUGC